RNAcentral lists this small nucleolar RNA (139 nucleotides) under Oryza sativa Indica Group (long-grained rice). RNAcentral describes it as "Small nucleolar RNA Z247". The record is from RNAcentral. Lineage: Eukaryota; Viridiplantae; Streptophyta; Magnoliopsida; Poales; Poaceae. RNAcentral also lists the same sequence under 1 other name.
CCGAUCGAUGAAGAGGAGCUGAUUCAGUAUAUCAUCACCGGCCUUGGCGAGGGCUACAGCGAGGUGGUGUCGGCUGUCUGCGCUCGGGUUGAACCAAUCUCUGUGAGUGAUCUGUACUCUCAAGUGUUGAACUUUGAAG